This 271-nucleotide long non-coding RNA is filed under the name Mytilus galloprovincialis (Mediterranean mussel). The record is from RNAcentral. Lineage: Eukaryota; Metazoa; Mollusca; Bivalvia; Mytilida; Mytilidae.
ACCAGUCCAAAUUGAUUUCUAGGCCCUCCACCUGGUGCCUGGUCGUGUCCUACUCCUUUCCAUAUCUCACCAGUCUGUCCGCUGCAAGGAUCUGGUACAUUAUUACCAUUUGGAAUAUCAUUUCUAAACCAUGGGAAUCCAAAAACAACAGCUGUCAAGGCUAAAUAUACAAUUUCUCUGAACAUGACCGCUCUAUUGAAGUACUUCAAAAAUAUGAAAGUGUGUUUGUCUCCCUUUGCAAGAAAUCACAUGGAAUGGUUCAGCCUUUAUC